This 194-nucleotide small nuclear RNA is filed under the name Pelusios castaneus (West African mud turtle). Its description in RNAcentral is "U2 spliceosomal RNA (ENSPCEG00000014284.1)". It matches the Rfam family "U2 spliceosomal RNA". From Rfam's summary of the family: U2 is a small nuclear RNA (snRNA) component of the spliceosome (involved in pre-mRNA splicing). Complementary binding between U2 snRNA (in an area lying towards the 5' end but 3' to hairpin I) and the branchpoint sequence (BPS) of the intron results the bulging out of an unpaired adenosine, on the BPS, which initiates a nucleophilic attack at the intronic 5' splice site, thus starting the first of two transesterification reactions that mediate splicing. The record is from Rfam by way of RNAcentral. Lineage: Eukaryota; Metazoa; Chordata; Testudines; Pelomedusidae.
UUAGUUAAUAUUAACAUAACGUUAAUACAAUUUUUAAACCUGUUCUUAUCAGUUUAAUGUUUGAUGUCUCCUUGUUGUGGGGACUGCAUAAUAAAUGCACUUGUGGAACAGGGAGAUGGGCUGGGAGAUUGCUCUAUAGGCUCCAUUCAUUGAUCUGCUGAUGCAAUGCCUCCAGUGAAAAAAGUGCAGCCUCU